Molecule: small RNA, 674 nt
Filed under: Pongo abelii (Sumatran orangutan)
Lineage: Eukaryota; Metazoa; Chordata; Mammalia; Primates; Hominidae
Description: retained intron
Source: RNAcentral
AAGCCUUGGGGAGCACUGAAGCCAAGGCUGUACCAUACCAAAAAUUUGAGGCACACCCGAAUGAUCUGUACGUGGAAGGACUGCCAGAAAACAUUCCUUUCCGAAGUCCCUCAUGGUAUGGAAUCCCAAGGCUGGAAAAAAUCAUUCAAGUGGGCAAUCGAAUUAAAUUUGUUAUUAAAAGACCAGAACUUCUGACUCACAGUACCACUGAAGUUACUCAGCCAAGAACAAAUACACCAGUCAAAGAAGAUUGGAAUGUCAGAAUUACCAAGCUACGGAAGCAAGUGGAAGAAAUUUUUAAUUUGAAGUUUGGUAAGUAAAAGCCAGUAUUUAUGUCUUUAAUAACAUAUCAACGAAGGGCCAUGUCUGAAUGAAGUAUAGAAGUUCAGGACCGGCUGGGCACGGUGGCUCACGCCUGUAAUCCCAGCACUUUGGGAGGCCGAGGCGGGCAGAUCAGGAGGUCAGGAGAUCGAGACCGUCCUGGCUAACACGAUGAAACCCCAUCUCUACUAAAAAUACAAGAAAAUUAGCCGGGCGUGGUGGCAGGCGCCUGUAGUCCCAGCUACUCGGGAGGCUGAGGCAGGGCAAUGGCUUGAACCCAGGAGGCGGAGCUUGCAGUGAGCCAAGAUCACACCACUGCACUCCAGCCUGGGCGACAGAGUGAGACUCUGUCU